CACUCUGUCAUUUCCUAAACUCUGAUGUUUUUUACAGUAUCUCUGGCAGUUAAAAGAACAUAUGUACGUGUAUAUCCCCAGAGCAGACUGCAAACAUGUUUUUAGAAGUACACAAGAAGACAUCUAUUUCAUAGGUCAAACCAAAGGAAUCUGGCUUUUAUUGUUAAAGGACUCGAGGGAACACAUGUAUUGCUGUCGGCUUCUCUCCACACCCACUCUGUGAGAUGACUACAGGAUCAUUUUAAUCAAGAAUGAAGACUACAUAAUUCAAGCAACAGGGUCAAAAGUCUGAUGUCUGCAGGGAAAGUGCAUUGGUUUAACUUCAGUCAGAUUUUAAAUCUUGGCUUUAAGGCUUGGCUAAAUAAUUAGGUCAAACCAGUGCAACGUUCCCGUGUAACUAAGGCCUUAAAAAAGGAUUUUAAAGAUAAAUAUCUCAGUUAAUUACUUAAGCUACAGUCUGAAACCUAUUGAAGUCAAUGAGACAGGAGAGCAAGCAGCCAACAAGAUACACUCUGAAGUGUCUUUCUGAAUCAGUAGCUUCAUUCUGCUCUAAGGAACAAACCUCCAUUUCAGCGAAAGUCAUCUUAGGAUCAUGGUGCUUUCUUAGAUCUCUGUCAGCCACAAAGCCUACAAGAGAGAGGACAGUGCUAAGGCCUCGCUGCAGGAGAGUGUUGCAGGAAGCUGGAGAGAGCAGAUUCUCAGCUAUACAUUCCAUUACAAAGUCUGACUUAAUUCAUGGAUCAGGAAUGGAAGACCAACUCCCUUGCCUUCAAACCAUGAGGAGUUUGAGAAAGUAGAGUCAACUUCUCACUGUACCAAACUAAAAGAACAGACACAAAUGAAAAACUUCAAUAGUGCAACAAGCUCUGCUCAAAGAAGCUCACCCAGCAGCCCGUUCAAUGCUUUGGCUUUUGUUAAAAGGGAGGUUCUUCAGAGCAAGAGGUUCCAUUACAUGUCUACAUGUUGAGGAGAAGACCCUGGCCAGUGGCCGGCCACCCAUUCAGCCACUCCCUCACUCCCCUUCCUCAUGGGGGCAUGCAGGGGCAGAAAAAUGAUGAAAAAGCUUGUGGACAGAGAUAAAGACAGGGAAAUUACUUACUAAUUACUGUCAAGCAAUUACUUACCAAUUUGUCACUUGGAGAAAAUUAAUUUUUUGCCAAUUGAAAGAGCUUUGGUUUUUUUGAGAAACAAAAUCAAAAACUGAAGGCACGUCUUACCCCCACAUCCUUUCCCACUUCAUUCCUGAUUCCUCUUUCAGUGAAUGGGAGGUGUGACGGGUCCACAACAGUUCCUCUCCACCUCUCCUUUCUCCUCACACUGUUCUCUUGCUCCACCAUGGGCCUCUUCAAUGGGCUGCAGAUUCAUGCUCUGUCUUGGAGGACCUCAUUACUCUCCUCUUUCUCUGAACUUGGCCUUCACCCCAUUACUUCAUCCUUUUUUUCCCCUUCCUCUGCCUGCCUAGUGCUUUUGCCCAUUCUUUAAUACAUCUUCCCUGAGACACCAGCAAAAAGCCACGUGGGCUCCUGGAGCUUGGCAGCGUCUGCUAGGAUGGCCACUGGUCCAUCACUGGUCAACAAUGAGUGUUGCGCCAUCACUUGUUGUAUGCUUCUGGUUCUAAUGCAAGGGAGCAGAUUUAUAUAUAACGUCACUAUUUCCAACCUCAGAUAUUCAGCAAAUGUAUUUUUUUCCCCAAAUACUUUUCAAUGGCAAAUAUAGAUACCUUUUCGUUUGUAUUUUGACCUCCAAGCCUUGAAUCUUUCUCCAAACACAUAGUCAAGAAACUCAUUUUUCAAAAGUCCUAAGAGUUGAGUUUCUUAUGAGAGUCUGGUCCACUUCAAGGAGAGAAACCUCAGUUUAUGAAAAAUAAUAUUACAACUGUUGUGCUGGCUGAUGUCCUCUACUUUUACAAGAGAACAAUAGAAAAUCAAUUACACUGACAAACCCCCCUUGUGGGGUGAAACUGUGUAGGCUUUCCCAACAGACAUAACAGAUGUUUCUUGAAGAGUGAUUUCUGAAGGUAAGGAAAUAAGGCAUCUUUUCAUGAAUAUUAUAUCUUCAUUUCUGCAGCUACAUAUUGUAAUCCUUCUGCAUUUCCAAGAGUGGUAGGCUUUAUCACAGAGACAAUUGCUUUGUGUUGGACUAAAACCACAGCUUUUUUGCUUAUGGAGUACCAAGCAAUGUGUAGAUGGUGACACUCACCAAAAAUCUCAGCAAACUGACAUUGCAUCAGGUGAAAAACAUUUGUCCUGCUCCUUUCCCCCACCAUGCCACCCUUCUCUGUCUCAUAUUUGUACAUCAAGAAAAAGAUACAGUAUUUGGUAUUUAAAACUUACUUUUGUAGAAGGUUGUAGCAGCACACAUUUUUAGAGAAGUAUUCUGCCAGGUCAGGGGAGGAUUUAUUUUCUGAAUGCCUAAUGCAUAUUUAAAAGCUGAUAAUAGUACAUGACAGCACCAAAAAUGUUAUAUAACUUCUAGAAUGUCUAUUAAAAAAGUAGAGCCUUGCCAUUAAAAAAAAAAGUAGAAGCCUGUGAGAUUCCCACCAUCUGGAUGGAGUCUUUUUUCUUCCCAGAUGAAUUAGUUGUCAAGGGAGGAAUUAUUUUAGGCAUCAAGUAACCCCUGAUUGUGAGUGACAGACUAACACAAGAGCAGAUGCAAGGUUACUGCUGCCUAUCCAUUAUGUGGAAAGGAGACCCAUGCAUGUCCUACUUACUGUGCAUACUGACUUGGGUUAUUAAAAGAGUAACUAGAGGUGGGUCAGACCCAGAAGAUAGCUCAUACGACUCACAACAGAUGUUCUUUCACAGGAGAGAAAACAAACACUGGAUACUUUCUGGGGAUACUGUAGAAGGAGGGGACUUCACUACUUUCAACAAGUCACAAGUACAGAUUCCCAACAGAGGCACAAACCAACUUUUUCAUUCAAAUAACAGUUAUUUGAGACCGUGAUGAAACACGAGAGGACUGUGGACCGUGACAGUGAGAAUAAAGAAAUAAAAAACAGUGCCAUCUUGUGGCCUACAGUACUCUGAAUGCUCCCAAGAGGAAAGAGGAAAAUCUUUUGCACUAAGAAAAAAGUACCGGUAACUUCUGGCCAAACGAUAAGUAACCUUAUUUCAGUUCAGAAUCCUGUCUUGAAUAUGCAGACUUUGGUUUUAUCAUAUGACUGAAACAAAUACCUCUUCCUUUUAUAAUCGCACGUGUUAUAAAAGAGUGGCAUAUUGUUUUUAUUGGACUAAUUCUCGUUCCACUACUACUGAAGAGAUUUGAGAGCUCAUAUAUUCAUCAUCCGUCGAAGUAAUCUCCAUGGUAUCUUAGAUUCAGACAAAUGAAUUGUCCAAGAUGAGAAUUUCUUUCUGAAAAUGAAGAUGAAAUCAUUUAUUAUCUUUCAUUGUUAUAUUGAAACAAAUAUAUAGUUCUAUUUAAUUUUUUAACUGUAGAUGGUGGGAAAAUAAAAGAGCAGUUCAAUGUCCCAGAAUAUAUGGCACAUAUUUCCCUGCACUGAGCUUUUCUAAAGUGUAAUUUUUUGAUGCUUACUGUAGCACAUUAAAAGCAACAGAUUGCACUUAUCUCUGUAAAUCAUUGAGCUCUAAUGGUUCAACACAUGGUCUGUGAAAGACCAACUGAGCCUCACGAGCAAUAAAGUUGUGUAUAUUAAGAAAAAGGUGAUGACAUUAUCACAUUAGGUGUGUUGAAAUCUAUUAGCAUCUAAAACGGCUCCUCAUCACUUUUGGUUAGAGUGCUCAGAUUAUCACAGUAACUGUUCAAGCCAGGGAAAGAUGUCUGUAAGUGCCCCUUAUGUCUCUUUAUACAUACUGUCUCAUCUGAUUGACAAACAUCUAUCUACUUGCUGGAGGAAUUUCAGGGACUAUACUCCUUAUCAGUGCCAGAGCAAUGUGUUCCCAUGUGAUCUCCGAGCGUACAACACAUAUAAUGCAAAAGUAGUGAAGAAUAUGUUGAGCUAUGAUUGCACUCAGUGGGUAUCCAUCUUUAUUCAGCAACAUUUUCCCAUGCACUUUAAAGUGUUUCUAGAAGGUAAAGAACAAAUUGUCUGGUUACCUUUUUUUGUUAGAAACAUGGUGGUAUUUCCCAUAGGCUAGAACAAGCCAUACUUUUCUCCUAAAUACUUCCCCAUGACUGAAGUGAGGAGAAGCCAUGAUUUUAGCUGAUGGGAAUAAAAUCAUUCACUAAAACACAGGGCUUAGCUGAAAGAGCAUCAGGCUGCUGCUUUUUUUUUUAAAUACCAGAAAUGAAUCAUUAUUUUAUUAUUUUCUAUCUUUGUGCUGUAAAUAUUCCUCAGGCCUAAACAGCAAGAGAAGAAUAUAUUCUAGACUCUGACAGGUUCUUAUUCACUGACGCUAAAAAAUACCUGUUCAUAACAUCACUGGAGGAAUUCAUGUUAGACUGUGACCAAAGCAGGUGCGUGUAUGAAUACAUUAUUGGCGUACAUGGGCUGACACACUGAUUAAGAGCAUUUUUAGUCACAUUUUGGUCAUAAUUGUCCAGUAGGUGGUGUUAUGAGUCACAGGAAUUAGACAUUUCUCAGGAAAACUGAAGUGAUUUGGAUGCUAAAAGCAGCUCAGGGCUUUGGGGAACAAGGAGGAGAAAUAGUUUGUUGAACUUCAUAGUGCAAAACUGUUUGAUUAACAAUUAAAAUUUGUUUAUAUAUACACAAGAUGCCUAGUUAAUAAUACAGGUGGAGUGGAUUACUUGUUGUCAAAAACUCAUAUUCUGCUAAUUUUUGCUUGCUUUUAAAACUGAUUAUCUGCCACAAAUCCAUAUAAAAGGUGUGAACUGGACUUUUGCCAUCUCCAGACUGUAACAGCCAUUCGUCAGGUCAUUGGCUGCCUCACUCAAGGUUUGCAUUUCACUGUUAUAUUAAAUAUGAGUAAAGAGUCUGAGAUCAGUUGUGAAGGCCUUUGGAAGAACCAUUCUCACUGUAGCACAGUGACUAUUUCAGACAGAAAGAAAGCUAAAUGAGCAGAGAACCUGGACUAUUUUUUUUUUCCUUCUCCUUUUAUUUUUUUUUCCAAGGGCUUCCCUACCACCUGUAAUUUUGUCUAUGUGCUCUCUGUUUUCUGCUAACAUGGUUCUAUUCUUCUAAAAAGAUCUUAACGAUUACCAGGCUAGGGAGACUGCAUUUGCAUGGUUGCUUUUUCUGGUAAGUAGAUGUAGAAAAGCAGAGCCACAGAGCCUUGAAACCUGUCUCUUCCUUUGCCUACUUUACAUUAACCAGUCAUCAUGUAAAAUACAUGGUAAAGCGUACACCAAAAUCCAGACGUCUUGCACUCUAGAUGAGUUCCUGAAUCAUUAUUUGACAUCAGAAGAUGUAAGAUCUCACCCUGUGAAUUUUGAAUUCUUCCCUGAAUGAUGUUGCAGUUUCACCUUUUGGUCUUGGUAGCUAGGAUACUGUACCUGGAAGUCAGAGAUGUGGGUCUGAGCUCUCCUAAAAGCAUACAAAAGCUAAAGGUAGGCUUCAUGCAUCUAGGUUAUAUGUCCUAAUCCUGUGUUUACGAUGAUGCAUAUCUUCUUCUUUCCAGAAGGCAGGGAAAAGUUCUGUUUGUUUCCAGAAGAACCCUAAUGGCAAAUUAUUUAGAAUUCCUUAACUGCUCUCGAACCCAGAAAACAUCCCAAGGGGAUUUGUAGCUGCUGUUAACAAGUUUAAUUUAUCAGUACAGGCUCUCUAGAUAACACAUACUGACUUCUAUAACCAAGUUAUAACAUGAAGAACAUGGGCUGUUCUUCAGGUCCAACAGUUGGUUGACCUGGAAAUAUUAAACUAAUCACAUUUAAACAGUGACUGUUUUUGAGCAUAAGGCAACAGCCUAAAGAGUACAAACCAUUUGGUGACGUGCAGCAGAAGUUGCAUGUCUGGAAAUAACCUUGUUUCCAAGGUUGGAAAACUACUAUGGGAAAAGUGAACAAAAGAGAUGACCUUUUGUGUAGGUAAGGAGUUCAGAGUUACAUGAUUGUUAUUCCUUAAUUGCUGUAGCUGGUACAUGAAUUACCCAGUCACUGUGCUCUCCUAGGCAUGCCUCUUUUCCUUAUUAAAGAGGAGCAGUCAUAUGGCUAAUCACCUGCUCACUGAAACAGAAAUUGCAACAGAUAAGUCAGAAAUAGAAAGAAAGUAAAUUUAUUAUAAACAAAAUCAUUGAGAAAAAAAAACAACUAUUCAUCAAUUAUAAACUUCAGAUUGUAGGAUUUAUCUUGCAUUUGCCUUCCACCACCUGUCACAGAUUCGAUAGCUUAUCAUAAUUAUCUUGUUUAUUACUGAUAACCCAGGUGAGUAAUAUGUGAGAGGGCGAAUUCUGGGAGUAUAAUACAGAGAAACAGUGUAAGCAACCAUUUAUUGGGAUUAAUGAGUGAAGGGAUAUCAUACUUACGAGGGAAUGCUGCAGCACUGUUGAAAAUAGUCAUGAAGAGAAGGACAACAGAGACAAUUAAAUUUGUUUAAAAAUUAAUUAUUGAUCAUUUGUAAAUAUGCAUCCAUAGAUUUAGAUAAACUUGGCAUGCCUGAUAAUGCCUUCACACUCACAUUUGUGUACCCAUGCAC
This 6550-nucleotide long non-coding RNA is filed under the name Gallus gallus (chicken). Lineage: Eukaryota; Metazoa; Chordata; Aves; Galliformes; Phasianidae. The record is from RNAcentral.